This 492-nucleotide ribosomal RNA is filed under the name uncultured bacterium. Its description in RNAcentral is "partial 16S ribosomal RNA". It matches the Rfam family "Bacterial small subunit ribosomal RNA", at positions 29 to 507 of the family's 1533-position model. The record is from RNAcentral.
AGUGAACGCUGGCGGUAGGCCUAACACAUGCAAGUCGAACGGCAGCACAGUAAGAGCUUGCUCUUACGGGAGGCGAGUGGCGGACGGGUGAGGAAUACAUCGGAAUCUACUUUUUCGUGGGGGAUAACGUAGGGAAACUUACGCUAAUACCGCAUACGACCUACGGGUGAAAGCAGGGGAUCUUCGGACCUUGCGCGAUUGAAUGAGCCGAUGUCGGAUUAGCUAGUUGGCGGGGUAAAGGCCCACCAAGGCGACGAUCCGUAGCUGGUCUGAGAGGAUGAUCAGCCGCACUGGAACGGGGACACGGUCCAGAGUCCUACGGGAGGCAGCAGUCGGGAAUAUUGGACAAUGGGCGCAAGCAUGAUCCAGCCAGACCGCGUGGGUGAAGAAGGCCUUCGGGUUGUAAAGCCCUUUUGUUGGGAAAGAAAAGCAGCAGGUUAAUACCCCGCUGUUCUGACGGUACCCAAAGAAUAAGCACCGGCUAACUUCGUG